UACGGAGGGUGCAAACGUUGCUCGGAAUCAUUGGGCGUAAAGCGCACGUAGGCGGCUCGUUAAGUCGGAUGUGAAAGCCCCGGGCUCAACCCGGGAAGUGCAUUCGAAACGGGCGAGCUUGAAUAUGGAAGAGGGUCGCGGAAUUCCCGGUGUAGAGGUGAAAUUCGUAGAUAUCGGGAGGAACACCCGUGGCGAAGGCGGCUCUCUGGGACGGUACUGACGCUGAGGUGCGAAAGCGUGGGGAGCAAACAGG
This 253-nucleotide ribosomal RNA is filed under the name uncultured bacterium. RNAcentral describes it as "partial 16S ribosomal RNA". It matches the Rfam family "Bacterial small subunit ribosomal RNA", at positions 524 to 776 of the family's 1533-position model. The record is from RNAcentral.